This 1911-nucleotide long non-coding RNA is filed under the name Homo sapiens (human). RNAcentral's name for it is "HSALNT0093157". Lineage: Eukaryota; Metazoa; Chordata; Mammalia; Primates; Hominidae. The record is from RNAcentral.
GGCAUUCUAAUAACAACUCCAUUUUAUAAUCACAGAUUCUAACACAAUGCCAAUUCUGCUUUUAUUUUUUAUUUAAAAAAUGAGGUAAUACAUGUAUUAUGGGACCAGAAUGAAAAAAAUACUUUCUUCUGAGUACCUUUCCACGUGGCUCUUCUGGCUCUGAGAAAUCUUUUUCUCUACUCAGUGAACUUUGAUUUCUUCUUACCGUAAAUAAUGUCUUCUACACUUUAUUCAUUAUACCAAGGAUCAGCAAAUGAUGGACAUGACCCACCACUUGUCUUUGUAAAUAAAGUUUUAUUGGAACACAGUUGUCUUGCUACCAAACUCACUCUUGAGACUUUCUCCCUUCCUUGCUUUGAAGAAAUAAUACCAUGUUAUAAGAGAGGCUGCGGAUAGGGCUACAUGACAAGGAACUGAGGGUGACCUCUAGGGGCUGAGGGAGAACAGCCAGCAAGAAAUUGAGGCCCUUAGCCUUAUAGCCUCUAUGAAAUAAAUUCUGCGAACAACCUUGAAUUAGCCUGGAAAUGGGUUUUCUUGUCGUUUUUUUGUUUGGCUUUGUUUUGUUUUUUUCCCUGUUAAGCUUCUGGAUGAGAGCACAGUCCAACUGACUCUUAUUGCAGCCUUGUGAGAUUUUAAACAAAGGACCCAACUAAACUAUGCUUGAACUCUACCCAUGGUAAUUGUGAGAUGAUAACUCUGUUGUUUUAAACCUCUAACUUUGUAGUAAUUUGUUACGCUGCAAUAGAUAACUAAAACAACAGCCAUGCUCAAUUGUUUACAUAUGGUCUGUAGCUGCUUUUGAACAACAGCAGGGUUGAGUAGUUGCAGCAGAGACCAUAUGGCCCACAAAGCCUAAAACCUGGCCCUUUAUAGAAAGAAAGGAUGCAGAACCCUGCUUUAUACUAUGCUCUCUAAACCGGAGCAUCCCUAGAGAAAUAAAGUAGUUGGUAGGGAACACAAAAAGUCGUAAGAUGGACGUUGUAUAUAUUUCAAUAGCAUCACUUCUACUUUUUGCCAGAAGUAGAAGAAAUUACAUUUUCUAUCCUCUUUUGCAGCUACUGCAGCCGUGGAACUAAGUGUUGCUAAUGAAUUGUGAAUGGAAGUGAUCAUUCAUCUCCAGUUGUCUUCCUCUUUCUGUGAUUGAAACCCAGAUUUGGAGCUGAGUCAGCUUUGAGCAGACAAGAAUGCUAAUGCUUAAGAGCCACAGCUUGUUCUCGGCUCUCUCCCUGCAUGAAUCAACAGCAGUCCCAGGACAGGCAGAGACCAUCAGGAGCUUAACCUUCACACAGAGAGAGACUCCAGAUCUCAGAGAGCAGUGCUCAAGAUUCCAAGACAGAACCCUGGGAUUUUCUACUGUGAGUUUCAUGCUGCAAAUACACAAAUCAACAGUUAUUUUGUAUGUAUACUCAGGUUUCUUCAUUUAUUUGAAAAGGUGGAGGAAGGAAUGGAGAAAAAUGGACAGAGGUAGGAGUGUGUGGGGGUGUGUGUGUGUGCAUGCAUGCACGUGUGUGUGUGUGAAAAGGCAUUAUAUUUAAAGAACAAUGGUUUUUGAUAGCCUUAUAAUUACUAUAUUCUAAUAGGAUGCUGAGCACGGCCUUGGCCGGUUAACUCUAUUUGCUUAGUCAUUCGUUCAUUUACACAUGUAUUUACCCAUUAACUAAUAGGCCAGUCAAAUGAGGUUACUUCUGGAGUGCUGUAGUUCUGUUUGCAUAUCAGGAUCUACAAUAAAAGCAUUGCCUUAGGUCCUCAGGUAGAGGUUGAUCAGGGGCAGAAAGGCUUUUCCUGCUGACUCCACCAGCAGCAUUCUGGUAAGAUGAAAAAUGGAGAAUGAUUAGUGUGGGCCACCCUUGAGAGACUAUGGUUAGUCAUAAUUGAGUAGACACAGCAAUACCUUCACGAGACUAUCCAUCA